This is a long non-coding RNA of Chinchilla lanigera (long-tailed chinchilla), 461 nucleotides long. RefSeq lists it as uncharacterized. The transcript is spliced from 3 exons. The record is from RefSeq and is a predicted model, not a curated record. NCBI's taxonomy places the organism in Eukaryota, Metazoa, Chordata, Mammalia, Rodentia, Chinchillidae.
UUUCUUUUUAAUAACAUUAGCCCCAUAUAGAUUUAAUAAUGAGGUGAUGGAAAACAUUUUGAUGAUGGGGCAGAUUCUCUGAUCUGCCGGGGAGAGCAUCUGAUUUGCUUGUGUACCAAUUAAUUAUUGAAGCAACUGAAAAUAACAGGCGAGUGCUCUUCCUCCCCGAGACAGGAUGGCAGUUUGGUCAUUUUAGCUCUCCCUGUCUAAGGAACAUCAGCAGUUGACAACGGUCAGGCAAAUUUGGAGAAAAGGAGAAAGAAAUACAAUUGUGUGCAGUUCUGAAGGGCACCUUGACUGAACAUUUUUGGGUGAUGCUAAAGUUGGCCAGUGGGCAGAAGAAAUGUUGGGUGAAGUCUACAAUGAUUUGGAAACAAGUAAAAAGCAAAGACUGCAAAGACCAUACUCAUAAGUGAAAUAAAUCAGACUUGCAUGUGUGAACAUCAUGUUGUCUCCCUAGG